RNAcentral lists this transfer RNA (184 nucleotides) under Marmota monax (woodchuck). Its description in RNAcentral is "tRNA.Asp". Lineage: Eukaryota; Metazoa; Chordata; Mammalia; Rodentia; Sciuridae. The record is from RNAcentral.
GGUUGUGGCUCAGUGGUAGAGCACUUGCCUAUCAUAUGUAAGGCACUGGGUUUGAUUUUCAGUACCACAUAUAAAUAAAUAAAGGCCCAUCAACAACUAAUAAAAUAUUUUUAAAAUAAAUAAAUAAAAGGGCUGGGGAUACGGCUCAGUGGUUAAGCACCCCUGGGUUCAAUCCCCAGUACCA